AAUCUACCUAGUAGAAGGGGAUAGCCCGGGGAAACCCGGAUUAAUACCGUAUACCUCCUUCGGGAGAAAGAAGGCCUCUCUUUGAAGCUUUCGCUAUUAGAUGAGCCUGCGUAAGAUUAGCUUGUUGGUGAGGUAAAGGCUCACCAAGGCGACGACCUUUAGCUGGUCUGAGAGGACGAUCAGCCACAUUGGGACUGAGACACGGCCCAGACUCCUACGGGAGGCAGCAGUGGGGAAUAUUGGACAAUGGGCGCAAGCCUGAUCCAGCCAUACCGCGUGUGUGAAGAAGGCCUUCGGGUUGUAAAGCACUUUAAGCAGGGAGAAAAAGUUAUAAGUUAAUACCUUAUAACCGUGAUGUUACCUGCAGAAUAAGCACCGGCUAAUUCCGUGCCAGCAGCCGCGGUAAUACGGAAGGUGCAAGCGU
Molecule: ribosomal RNA, 424 nt
Filed under: uncultured bacterium
Lineage: Bacteria
Description: bacterial SSU rRNA
Rfam family: Bacterial small subunit ribosomal RNA
Source: RNAcentral